CGGCGGAUGCUACUAUGCAGUCGAACGGUAACAGGAAACAGCUUGCUGUUUUGCUGACGAGUGGCGGACGGGUGAGUAAUGUCUGGGAAACUGCCUGAUGGAGGGGGAUAACUACUGGAAACGGUAGCUAAUACCGCAUAACGUCGCAAGACCAAAGAGGGGGACCUUCGGGCCUCUUGCCAUCGGAUGUGCCCAGAUGGGAUUAGCUAGUAGGUGGGGUAACGGCUCACCUAGGCGACGAUCCCUAGCUGGUCUGAGAGGAUGACCAGCCACACUGGAACUGAGACACGGUCCAGACUCCUACGGGAGGCAGCAGUGGGGAAUAUUGCACAAUGGGCGCAAGCCUGAUGCAGCCAUGCCGCGUGUAUGAAGAAGGCCUUCGGGUUGUAAAGUACUUUCAGCGGGGAGGAAGGGAGUAAAGUUAAUACCUUUGCUCAUUGACGUUACCCGCAGAAGAAGCACCGGCUAACUCCGUGCCAGCAGCCGCGGUAAUACGGAGGGUGCAAGCGUUAAUCGGAAUUACUGGGCGUAAAGCGCACGCAGGCGGUUUGUUAAGUCAGAUGUGAAAUCCCCGGGCUCAACCUGGGAACUGCAUCUGAU
Molecule: ribosomal RNA, 600 nt
Filed under: Escherichia coli
Lineage: Bacteria; Pseudomonadati; Pseudomonadota; Gammaproteobacteria; Enterobacterales; Enterobacteriaceae
Description: bacterial SSU rRNA
Rfam family: Bacterial small subunit ribosomal RNA
Source: RNAcentral